Molecule: non-coding RNA, 875 nt
Organism: Camellia sinensis
Lineage: Eukaryota; Viridiplantae; Streptophyta; Magnoliopsida; Ericales; Theaceae
Source: RefSeq, a predicted model, not a curated record
AGUCAUGCAAUUCUUAGGAAUCUUGCUUGUGCAUUUCCUGGAGUAGCUGAUCACUGGGUAUCCAUCUGAUCUAUUCAAAAGGUCAAAGAUCGAAUCAGUGUUGGAUUGGCAUCACUCUAAUUUACGCCGUGGCGCAGGUAUUUUAUUCCCAAUGUUUUGGUAUAGUAAUUUUUCACCCUUUUAUUUAUUUUCUAAGGUCUAUGUCAUUCUUGAUUAAUCUUUCCUUUUCACCUACUUAUGUUCUAAAUACUAUUCUUGCACCUGUACUUGGCCUUCAAUUGAAUCCACGAGCUGCUGCUGAAGGUGAAAAACUAUUGUUUGCAUCACUUGCAAAGAUUGAAUCUAUUUGGUUGAAGGGGAAUGGUCAGUUUUUGCUGGGAAGCUCUCAAUAGUUCGAGUGGGGGUUGUGGAUUCGCUUAGUAGUCAUCCCACUGUUCGGCCAAUGCCACAUCAGCAACAAUCUCAUACAUUUUCAUCUCAAGAGGCUCACCUUUCAAAGAAAGAGAAGAACAAGAACAAGAACAAGAAGAACUAACAAGGUGAUUGCUUUUAGUGAUGAGGAGGGAGUGAGAUUUCAAUCUACUUUCUUACUAAUUGGUUGUAACGCUGCUUGUUCCAAGUAAACUGACUAGUAGACUUUGUUUAGUGGUCUGACAGUGCAAAAUGUUCUAAAAGAGAACUCUAUAGAAAUUUCCGAGGAAAGUUUUUUUGAGCUGAAGUAUGAUCCAGAGUCUGUUUGGGGUUGUAUCGAGGUAUUCCGCCCAUGUUGAAUAUCCUGUGGUUAUUCAAGCUGCACAACUUUCUCUGUUUGGUUUCAAUUUGGGAAUGUUUGUUGAAAAAAUUUCAAAAAAAAUUAAACACUAGUUUGGUUGGGG